UACGUAGGUGGCAAGCGUUGUCCGGAUUUACUGGGCGUAAGAGCGCGCAGGCGGUCGUUCAAGUCGCGUGUGAAAGCCCCCGGCUCAACUGGGGAGGGUCACGCGAUACUGAUCGACUCGAAGGCAGGAGAGGGUAGUGGAAUUCCCGGUGUAGUGGUGAAAUGCGUAGAUAUCGGGAGGAACACCAGUGGCGAAGGCGGCUCGCUGGACAUGUAUUGACGCUGAGGUGCGAAAGCGUGGGGAGCAAACAGG
This 252-nucleotide ribosomal RNA is filed under the name uncultured bacterium. Its description in RNAcentral is "partial 16S ribosomal RNA". It matches the Rfam family "Bacterial small subunit ribosomal RNA", at positions 524 to 776 of the family's 1533-position model. The record is from RNAcentral.